RNAcentral lists this unclassified non-coding RNA (348 nucleotides) under soil metagenome. RNAcentral's name for it is "partial contains 5.8S ribosomal RNA, internal transcribed spacer 2, and large subunit ribosomal RNA". The stretch from base 1 to 120 matches the Rfam family "5.8S ribosomal RNA", at positions 35 to 154 of the family's 154-position model. The record is from RNAcentral.
GAUGAAGAACGUAGCGAAAUGCGAUAAGUAAUGUGAAUUGCAGAAUUCAGUGAAUCAUCGAAUCUUUGAACGCACAUGGCGCCCGCCAGUAUUCUGGCGGGCAUGCCUGUCUGAGCGUCAUUUCAACCCUCAUGCCCCUAGGGCGUGGUGUUGGGGAUCGGCCAAAGCCCGCGAGGGACGGCCGGCCCCUAAAUCUAGUGGCGGACCCGUCGUGGCCUCCUCUGCGAAGUAGUGAUAUUCCGCAUCGGAGAGCGAUGAGCCCCUGCCGUUAAACCCCCAACUUUCCAAGGUUGACCUCAGAUCAGGUAGGAAUACCCGCUGAACUUAAGCAUAUCAAUAAGCGGAGGA